Molecule: ribosomal RNA, 394 nt
Filed under: Clostridioides difficile
Lineage: Bacteria; Bacillati; Bacillota; Clostridia; Peptostreptococcales; Peptostreptococcaceae
Description: partial 23S ribosomal RNA
Rfam family: Bacterial large subunit ribosomal RNA
Source: RNAcentral
GAUCCUGCGCCGAAGAUUUCCGGGGCUAAAACUUACUACCGAAGCUACGGCAUCAGUAAUGAUGGGUAGGGGAGCUUCCCAUACGGGUUGAAGCAUGACCGUAAGGACAUGUGGACAGUAUGGGAGUGAGAAUGUUGGCAUGAGUAGCGAGAUGUGGGUGAGAAUCCCACAGGCCGUAAACCCAAGGUUUCCAGGGGAAGGUUCGUCCGCCCUGGGUUAGUCGGAACCUAAGCUGAGGCCGAAAGGCGUAGGUGAUGGACAACAGGUUGAUAUUCCUGUACUACCGAUAACCAUUUGAGAGAAGGGAUGACACAGUAGGAUAAGCUAAGCACACUGUUGGUUAUGUGUGCCCAAGCAUUGAGGCAGUCAAAGUAGGCAAAUCCGCUUUGAUAAU